Long non-coding RNA from Mercurialis annua (annual mercury), 985 nucleotides. RefSeq lists it as uncharacterized. The transcript has 2 exons. The record is from RefSeq and is a predicted model, not a curated record. NCBI's taxonomy places the organism in Eukaryota, Viridiplantae, Streptophyta, Magnoliopsida, Malpighiales, Euphorbiaceae.
GUCUGUCAGAAGAGUUCUAUUUACUACUCAUCAAUAUUCUAUGGCAAGUAAAAAAUCUUGCAUGGAGAUGUCUUGCCUUUUUUUCUUGCAAGUUUAAUUCUCACCAAUUAGAAUAUGCAUAGAGUAAUUGAUAUUCAAUUGAAUGAUUGAAUCGAAUAACCCACGUCAAACAGCAAACCACUAGGUAUUUCUGGCAACCCUAAAUUAGUUGAACAGAUCGGUCUCUUUAUUGAUUAACCGAAUUUAUCUCAAUCAAACUUUUCAUCUACACGCUUUGGGUAUGAUUCGAAAUUUUAAAGCGCACGAUCAAUCAAGAGCACACUUUGAUACAACAAAUGUUAUUUAUUUAGUCAUCGAUUCCAUCGUUACAGACGACGACGGGGCACGAUUCGGAGAUACCAAGCGAGAGCGGUUUUCCAUGAACGAACAGAAGUGGAAACAAAGAUACAGGCAUCAAUGUCGCGAGGCCGGAAAAAUUAUUAAUCAGAGCAGCGUAUCAAAUUAGAUGGUAUCAAACCUGCCAGCAAGGAUGGAUUAAUCAACAAAUAAAGGGCUGAUGAGAAAGCACAUUGAAAAGUCUAUGAGUUAAAAUGAUGGUAAAUAUUUCCAAAAUUAAAAUUGUACCAUCUUAUCCUGACAGCCUGAGUUGUCCUUGUUUCUUUGAUUUUUUUUAAAUCUGAAAUUAAGAUUUAAAUCUAAAAUAGUCACAUCAAAUCUUGUUUUGAUUUUAGUUUUGUUUUAAUUUUUGCUUAACAAAUACAGACAAUCAUUUAGGUAAAACCUUACCUAUUUUCUUUUAUUUUUUUUUAAUGUGAUUUGAUCUCUGAAGCCAAUUUGCACAAUUCUCCAUUUGUUAGUUUUUUAGAUUUUCUUUCUGUAACAAAAAACAGCAAUGACUCGUUACACUUAUGUGGAGAAGCAAUCACUUACCUAUUUUCUUUUAUUUUCUUUAAUGUGAUUUGAUAUCUGAAGCCAAUUUGGACAA